Molecule: long non-coding RNA, 1137 nt
Filed under: Dromaius novaehollandiae (emu)
Lineage: Eukaryota; Metazoa; Chordata; Aves; Casuariiformes; Dromaiidae
Description: lncRNA (ENSDNVG00000018866.1)
Source: RNAcentral
GCCUGGCACUUUAAAAUAAAUCAACACUGACUUUCAGUUACUUUAAAAUGCUGGGCUGAAGAUUAGAGACAGAGAAAAAAACAAAUUUUCUCUGAUCACUUGUCAAGGUCCUGAGAAGGAGGCAGCCCUAAGCUACAGACGGCUAGAGAGCAGCAAGAGACCUCCUUGAGAGCAAAGGAAGGGAUGGAGAGCCACAGGGCAAGGAACCAGCUGAAGGAGGCUUGGACCUGUGMGUGAAGGAGCUCUCCUUCUGCUUGAUCUUGGCUCUGGACCAACUUUCUGUGCACUCUUUGCGAAGAAACAAGUUUGAAUCAUUGUCUCUCUUGUUUUCUCUUGUAUACCAUCCUAUAGCAAACCUGAACACUUGGAAGCGCUGCGGAGGAAGGGGGAUUUUGAGAAUUUUUUUAAUCUGAUUCUCUUGCGACCUGGGCUGGCAGUCUCAAGGGAUAGCUUCAGGGCAGAAGUGGAGCAGAGGGGAGCUGGUUUGAUCUCAGCACUGUGGCACAGGAAACCCACUGAGGUGGAAGGGAGGACUCCAACAGUGCUCGAAACCUGCUUGGACUCUGGUAGAGUGAAAAGCUCUCAUUAUCUGUUCUGAUGUGGAGUUUGUUUCCUUUUUUUUUCUUAACUGCAAUAGUAGCAGUUAUUCUGAGAYUGAAAAGAGAAAAGCUUCUAUCGAUCACGUCCAGACUGAACACCACUCUUUUUUUGUUCUGUUUUGCCUUAUGGCGGGGUUGACRUGACUGUGUUUUGUUCUGUGUCAGAAGGAAAACAAACUCUGAAAUACCAAAUUCUUUCACACAAUGGACUUUCCUUUCUCUAAAUAUCCCUGCGAGAUGGGCCUCUUACAGCUCUCUCCUCUUCCCAGAAAAAGAGAACAAAUACUAGGAAAUCUGGAGAGAUGAACUGCACUGAGUUUGGCUGCUGCGGAGGAGCGCGGAGACCAGCCCCACGUUAGUCACCGGCUCCACUUCCGGCUGAUCCCCACCCGGAGGGGGUAGGUGGACCUUCGGCAAGCACUGAUGGUCUCCGUGAUGGUGGUAGCUUUCUGCUGUGCACCUCAGACUCCUUUCUGUGUCUCUGCAAGUCGUGAUAGGGGAUARUUUCAGGUUCGCCUCUCUCAUCCCAGCCCCUCCG